UUGCUGACGAGCGGCGGACGGGUGAGUAAUGCUUGGGAACAUGCCUUGAGGUGGGGGACAACAGUUGGAAACGACUGCUAAUACCGCAUAAUGUCUACGGACCAAAGGGGGCUUCGGCUCUCGCCUUUAGAUUGGCCCAAGUGGGAUUAGCUAGUUGGUGAGGUAAUGGCUCACCAAGGCGACGAUCCCUAGCUGGUUUGAGAGGAUGAUCAGCCACACUGGGACUGAGACACGGCCCAGACUCCUACGGGAGGCAGCAGUGGGGAAUAUUGCACAAUGGGCGCAAGCCUGAUGCAGCCAUGCCGCGUGUGUGAAGAAGGCCUUCGGGUUGUAAAGCACUUUCAGUCAGGAGGAAAGGUUAGUAGUUAAUACCUGCUAGCUGUGACGUUACUGACAGAAGAAGCACCGGCUAACUCCGUGCCAGCAGCCGCGGUAAUACGGAGGGUGCGAGCGUUAAUCGGAAUUACUGGGCGUAAAGCGUACGCAGGCGGUUUGUUAAGCGAGAUGUGAAAGCCCCGGGCUCAACCUGGGAACUGCAUUUCGAACUGGCAAACUAGAGUGUGAUAGAGGGUGGUAGAAUUUCAGGUGUAGCGGUGAAAUGCGUAGAGAUCUGAAGGAAUACCGAUGGCGAAGGCAGCCACCUGGGUCAACACUGACGCUCAUGUACGAAAGCGUGGGGAGCAAACGGGAUUAGAUACCCCGGUAGUCCACGCCGUAAACGAUGUCUACUAGAAGCUCGGAGCCUCGGUUCUGUUUUUCAAAGCUAACGCAUUAAGUAGACCGCCUGGGGAGUACGGCCGCAAGGUUAAAAC
Molecule: ribosomal RNA, 812 nt
Filed under: Pseudoalteromonas sp. JB197
Lineage: Bacteria; Pseudomonadati; Pseudomonadota; Gammaproteobacteria; Alteromonadales; Pseudoalteromonadaceae
Description: bacterial SSU rRNA
Rfam family: Bacterial small subunit ribosomal RNA
Source: RNAcentral